CGACCGCUGGCGGCGUGCUUAACACAUGCAAGUCGAACGGAAAGGCCCUGCUUUUGUGGGGUGCUCGAGUGGCGAACGGGUGAGUAACACGUGAGUAACCUGCCCUUGACUUUGGGAUAACUUCAGGAAACUGGGGCUAAUACCGGAUAGGAGCUCCUGCUGCAUGGUGGGGGUUGGAAAGUUUCGGCGGUUGGGGAUGGACUCGCGGCUUAUCAGCUUGUUGGUGGGGUAGUGGCUUACCAAGGCUUUGACAGGUAGCCGGCCUGAGAGGGUGACCGGCCACAUUGGGACUGAGAUACGGCCCAGACUCCUACGGGAGGCAGCAGUGGGGAAUAUUGCACAAUGGGCGGAAGCCUGAUGCAGCAACGCCGCGUGCGGGAUGACGGCCUUCGGGUUGUAAACCGCUUUCGCCUGUGACGAAGCGUGAGUGACGGUAAUGGGUAAAGAAGCACCGGCUAACUACGUG
This 466-nucleotide ribosomal RNA is filed under the name uncultured bacterium. RNAcentral's name for it is "partial 16S ribosomal RNA". It matches the Rfam family "Bacterial small subunit ribosomal RNA", at positions 30 to 507 of the family's 1533-position model. The record is from RNAcentral.